GGUUAACUUAGCUUAUUGGUACAGCUAAACUAUUUGCUACAUAGUUCUCUAGGGAUCAGUGUUCGAUUCACUGGUUAACCG
Molecule: non-coding RNA, 81 nt
Organism: Scheffersomyces coipomensis
Lineage: Eukaryota; Fungi; Ascomycota; Pichiomycetes; Serinales; Debaryomycetaceae
Source: the annotation of a RefSeq genome assembly